Molecule: ribosomal RNA, 253 nt
Filed under: uncultured bacterium
Lineage: Bacteria
Description: partial 16S ribosomal RNA
Rfam family: Bacterial small subunit ribosomal RNA
Source: RNAcentral
UACGAAGGGGGCUAGCGUUGCUCGGAAUCACUGGGCGUAAAGGGUGCGUAGGCGGGUCUUUAAGUCAGGGGUGAAAUCCUGGAGCUCAACUCCAGAACUGCCUUUGAUACUGAAGAUCUUGAGUCCGGGAGAGGUGAGUGGAACUGCGAGUGUAGAGGUGAAAUUCGUAGAUAUCGGGAGGAACACCAGUGGCGAAGGCGGAGACCUGGGCAGAUAUUGACGCUGAGGUGCGAAAGCGUGGGGAGCAAACAGG